This 587-nucleotide long non-coding RNA is filed under the name Homo sapiens (human). Its description in RNAcentral is "HSALNT0130554". The record is from RNAcentral. Lineage: Eukaryota; Metazoa; Chordata; Mammalia; Primates; Hominidae.
GCAGCCGGGACUGGCUCCAGCUCCGCUUUGUGUCACAGAGCUGCCCGUGUGCCCUGGCCCUGGCUGUGGGGCUGGGAACUGUUCCUGGACCUCCUGGGCCCCGUGGGAACCUUGCUCCCGCAGCUGCGGAGUGGGCCAGCAGCGCCGCCUGCGGGCAUACCGUCCCCCUGGGCCCGGCGGGCACUGGUGCCCCAACAUCCUUACUGCCUACCAAGAGCGCCGCUUCUGCAACCUGCGAGCCUGCCCAGUGCCCGGGGGCUGGUCACGCUGGAGUCCCUGGUCCUGGUGUGACCGCAGCUGUGGGGGAGGCCAAUCCCUGAGAAGCCGCAGCUGCUCAAGCCCCCCAUCCAAGAACGGGGGAGCCCCCUGUGCUGGGGAGCGGCACCAGGCCCGCCUCUGCAAUCCCAUGCCUUGUGGUAUGGCAAUGGUGACAGUCCUGUCCUACCCUUAUUGGGCUCCACUCUGCAUGGGGCCUGGCUGCUACCUCAUGGGCCAGUUUGGAAACUGAGCCCUCUGGGGUGGAGGGCUGGGCCUGGCGUUGGGCAAGGAUACCCUGAGCAUGUCUGUUGUCUGUGCCAAGGCCCAAG